UGAAGCUGCUGCUCUAAAGACCUAACUUUAUCAGAAAGUGAGCUGGGACCAAGAGCCUCAAACUUGAGUGCACAGCUGAUCAGGAUCAGGAAACUGGUCAGACAUUGUUAACAGAGCAUGGAAUGGAAUGUGCUUACGACUGAGCCAACCAGUAUGUAAACAGGCCACUGUCCACAUGGCACAAUGUGCUGAGAGCUAAGACGUUUCCCUGACACUUUUCCUUGAUAUGCCUCCCAUUGUGAAAUUUUCAGGACUUGUUCAGGGACAAAGGCGUUGACAGUGCUGAUGAUGAGGAAGCUACAUUACAAAGGAGAUUUCCUUUGCUGCCUUUUACAAACAUCCAUGAGGACAGAUGAUGCAUUUAUGGUGUAAAACAUAUUCUCUGCACAUGUAUGAGGGGACAAAAUAAAGCAUG
This is a long non-coding RNA of Canis lupus familiaris (dog), 415 nucleotides long. RefSeq lists it as uncharacterized. The transcript is spliced from 3 exons. NCBI's taxonomy places the organism in Eukaryota, Metazoa, Chordata, Mammalia, Carnivora, Canidae. The record is from RefSeq and is a predicted model, not a curated record.